GAGGAGAGAGGAGGCCGCUGAGGUGAUCAUUCAGGCUGCCACCCACUGGCCCCUGUCCCUGGGGAACAUGGCAGCUCUGGGGCAGGCUUCUCCUAGGACCCGGGAGCCCCAGUGGCCAGAAGUGUGACAAGGGCCUUCCAGACGAGUCUGCUGGCUUCCAGUUGCCCGAGAAACUAACCGAGCUGCAUUCCAGACUCCCUGGCACAGGGGGAAAGGUCUCCGAGGAGGGGAGCUGUGGGGCUGAACCUGACCUCCAGCCCAAUCAUCUUGAGGGAGAAGAUGGGCCAGCCCGGGCCCCGCGGGGACAAGGUCUCUGACACUCAGCUGUCUGGCGCUCUGGCCGCCCCCGACCGUGCCCCAGCUGGCGUCAUUCCCGGCCCUGAGGACUCGGACCUGGUGCCCUCUCUGACGCUGGCUGCAGCCCUGGUCCUCCUGUUCCUUCUGUUCUCCGUCUGGCUGGGAUGGGACCGGCCCCUCUGAGACUCCCGCUGAUGUGGGUUCCUGAGCGGGGGUCAGGGUAUCUAUCCCUGGGCAGGGUGUAGCCCAGCCUCCCAGCUGCGUCCUGGGCCAAACCCUGCAGCCAGCAGCUCAGCCCUUACCUGUGGCAGCCCCAGCAGGACCCCAGGAGGCCCCCAA
This is a long non-coding RNA of Dama dama (fallow deer), 636 nucleotides long. RefSeq lists it as uncharacterized. NCBI's taxonomy places the organism in Eukaryota, Metazoa, Chordata, Mammalia, Artiodactyla, Cervidae. The transcript is spliced from 3 exons. The record is from RefSeq and is a predicted model, not a curated record.